AUUAAAGUAAGUUAAAUUUGUAAGCACUAAACAAAAUGCGUUUAUCAUUUUUGGCAGUGAGUAUUGCCAUCAUCUUUGUUUUGGCAAUUGUGCACUCUCCUGUAGAAGCAACUGCUGUCAAUCUGAAAGCGUUGUCCCCAACACAGCUUUAUGAGAAGAUUAAACAUGUACUACACCAAGGAUUAAGAGCACUUUGUAAUAAUUUGGAGGAUUUUGCUGCAUUUUGUGAAAUGCUGGAUCGUAUUAGAGAUUAAGUGUGUCGAUCAGUAUAGCAGGACCUAUGCGACAUAUGAUGUGUAUAAUAUUUGUUUGAUUUAUAAUAAUAACAUGUGUGCACACAAUACAUUCGGAUCUAUAUAAAAUAAAAUAAAUAUAAUCUUAGCGUCAGUAAAACAUGCUGUUUUUUGUACAAAACAUACUAACAACCGUAAUUAAAUAUCACUUCUUGUCUCCUUUUUAACUUGUACACAUUCUCAAAUGUCAUGAAAUAAAAUUAGUAGGUAAAACUGGUAAUAAUUUGAUGA
Molecule: long non-coding RNA, 524 nt
Organism: Pseudomyrmex gracilis
Lineage: Eukaryota; Metazoa; Arthropoda; Insecta; Hymenoptera; Formicidae
Exons: 4
Source: RefSeq, a predicted model, not a curated record